UACGUAGGGGGCAAGCGUUGUCCGGAAUUAUUGGGCGUAAAGCGCGCGCAGGCGGUUCUUUAAGUCUGGUGUCUAAGUGCGGGGCUCAACCCCGUGAUGCAUUGGAAACUGAGGGACUUGAGUGCAGAAGAGGAGAGCGGAAUUCCACGUGUAGCGGUGAAAUGCGUAGAGAUGUGGAGGAACACCAGUGGCGAAGGCGGCUCUCUGGACUGUAACUGACGCUCCUGCACGACAGCGUGGGGAUCAAACAGG
RNAcentral lists this ribosomal RNA (252 nucleotides) under uncultured bacterium. Its description in RNAcentral is "partial 16S ribosomal RNA". It matches the Rfam family "Bacterial small subunit ribosomal RNA", at positions 524 to 776 of the family's 1533-position model. The record is from RNAcentral.